Molecule: long non-coding RNA, 434 nt
Organism: Alosa alosa (allis shad)
Lineage: Eukaryota; Metazoa; Chordata; Actinopteri; Clupeiformes; Clupeidae
Exons: 3
Source: RefSeq, a predicted model, not a curated record
UAAACAUGUAGUGAAAUUUGAAUUGCACUUGAACCACACAGCACUGUGGGGCGAUUUUUAACGUUCACUCCCAGCCACCCCUGACCUGACUGACUUUUCAACUCACUCUGGCAGAUCCACCAGUGACUUCAACCAUCACUUUUCUGCAUGUGUCUGCAAACUCUGCCGUCAUCAUAUCCAAGUGGGCUCCAUCAACCAUCCGGGGCAAAGUCAGUCUGUCCUGAUUGCACUACCUGCUAAUUGAUGACGUCUAGAAGCCAUGGCUGGUGCCCUCCACGUGUCGUGCCAUCCAACAGUCUCAGUGUGGAGCCAAAGGCUGCUAUUGCAGGUCAGAUGGGAGACUAUCUAUGUUAGGCAUCAGAAAGGUGGUGUAUGCCCGAAGGCAGGAGCUGCUGCAGACAGUGUUCCGUUUAGGUAUAGCGCCACCUAGUUAA